This 443-nucleotide ribosomal RNA is filed under the name uncultured bacterium. Its description in RNAcentral is "bacterial SSU rRNA". It matches the Rfam family "Bacterial small subunit ribosomal RNA", at positions 29 to 517 of the family's 1533-position model. The record is from RNAcentral.
AACGAACGCUGGCGGCAGGCCUAACACAUGCAAGUCGAACGAGACCUUCGGGUCUAGUGGCGCACGGGUGCGUAACGCGUGGGAAUCUACCCUUGGGUUCGGAAUAACUCAGAGAAAUUUGAGCUAAUACCGGAUGAUGUCGCAAGACCAAAGAUUUAUCGCCCAAGGAUGAGCCCGCGUAGGAUUAGCUUGUUGGUGAGGUAAAAGCUCACCAAGGCGACGAUCCUUAGCUGGUCUGAGAGGAUGAUCAGCCACACUGGAACUGAGAUACGGACCAGACUCCUACGGGAGGCAGCAGUGGGGAAUAUUGGACAAUGGGGGCAACCCUGAUCCAGCAAUGCCGCGUGAGUGAUGAAGGCCUUAGGGUUGUAAAGCUCUUUUACCCGAGAUGAUAAUGACAGUAUCGGGAGAAUAAGCUCCGGCUAACUCCGUGCCAGCAGCCG